GGCAAACCGGGACGGCACCGGUAAAAGUGCGCGGCGCACCUGGGCGGCACCUGCCGGCAUGGGUUCGAGCAGGCUGGCGGCUUGUGUCAGACGCGACAGCGCCUCGGCGUCGUCACUGUCUCGCGCCCGCUGCGCCAGAUCUGACGCUUCGGCCGGGUCAUAGACGAGGGCGCGCAAAAACAGCGGGAGAAUUUCUUCAUAGCCUUGGAGGGCGGGCGUGCCGUCGAGGCGCACCGCUUCGGCGGCGCCGGGGUCGAGCACCGACGCGCCCGAGGGCGUCGAGGCAACGGCCACCGUCUCCGCGCUGUCGUCCACCUGAAUGCGAAAGAGCGCCGCCUUGUCCAUGGCGUCGUUCUGGACCGCCACAAUAUAGUAGGUGGCCUCGGGGUCGCACCCGCCGACAAAGGCUGGGUCGGUGGCGUCGAGCACGUCGUACCACGCCACGGGAAAGGGCUCGAUCGAGCCCUCAAAGUCGCCCGGCGCCAACUGCGCGAUCUUUUCCGCGCGCUGCGCCGCCCUGCCGACGGCCAGGGCCAGAUUGUAGGCGGCCGCGACGGGAUCGUCGACGGCCUCUAGGUCGAGCGCGCGCACGUGCUCAUAGGCGCUCUCGGGAUCAAGCGCUGCAUAGGCGCGCUGGACGUCGACAAAGGUGGGCGGCCAGGCUGUAGCGUGGCGUCGCACGGCCGCGACGCCCGCAGGAUUUGUGUCGAGCGUGCGCCACAGCGCAAUGUAGGCACGCAACGGCACGGCGCACUCGGUCUCGUCGGCAGUCGACAGGCGCGCCCUCGCCGUGCCGCCGCCCAUGGCGCCUCGGGUCAGCCGCAGGGCCUCGCGGAGAUCGGCCAGAUUAGCCGUACCGUCGGCCAGACGACCGCACAGGUCGGCGACAAUGGCGAGAUCCCUGCGCGCAUUCCACGGCGCGGCAGUCGUCUCUGCCUCGCCGGGUCUGGCCUGCUUGCGCACGGGCGACGACGCACCGGGGGAGACCCGCGGCGCGCCGUCGUCGCUGCCACUUUCGGAAAGGCGCCGCUUCAUCUUUUUUUUUCUCAAGAGAAAUAAAAAUGAAAUCAAAUAGAUCAAUGGACUCGCGUGGUCCUGUUUCCUAGGCAGAGGCGAAAACAGCGCCAAGGCGACUCUCUUUUUUUUCCUCUACGUGGCGCUCGUGCCCAAAACCCCAACACCAA
RNAcentral lists this long non-coding RNA (1184 nucleotides) under Pandoravirus quercus. RNAcentral describes it as "hypothetical ncRNA". The record is from RNAcentral.